RNAcentral lists this long non-coding RNA (226 nucleotides) under Brassica napus (rape). Its description in RNAcentral is "long non-coding RNA (BNAP_LNC013458)". Lineage: Eukaryota; Viridiplantae; Streptophyta; Magnoliopsida; Brassicales; Brassicaceae. The record is from RNAcentral.
GAUUAGCUGUGAUUUGUGUAUGUAUAACUUUAAUUUUGCCUAACGAGGACUUUACAAAGAUAUAACUUCUUCCUUGGUUAUAUUGUAACUGGGAUAAGAACAUUUUCUUUUUGGAUUCUAGAAUGUUCCAUAAUUUUAUACUACGAGUAAUUCAGCAUUCAAUAUCACAGAAAAGGUCUGCAUAUGUUGACAGAAUAAAACGAUGCCUGAUGUGGCUCAUACUCUU